UUUCUUAGCUAUGGCUGCUCAUCACAUACCCGGUGGGUGAGAUGUUUAGGUUUUGAGGGCUCUAAUCCAGCCAAUAAGGUCAUGAAAUCGACCACUGUGUCAAUGUUGUGCUUCUGGGUGGUUGUGUCUUUUAACACACACAAGACACUCAACCAGCUAAAAGAGAUGAGCUCGGAGAUGUUGGCUCGGAGGAAGAGAAGGAUCACGUUGAGGUCAUUGAUGGGACAUCCCAGCAUUUUUCUGCUGAGGAGAUCAAAAGCUGGGAGCAUCUCAUAGAUGGACAGGAGUCGUUUGUCCCACUUACAUAGCCGGGUGAGGUUGUAUAGUAUCACUGGAACCAGUAGGGUAUAUAUUGCUACACUGGAGAGGCUAACAAUCUGGAAAACAGACAGGAAGGUCAGCCUGCACGUGAUCAGAUCGGGGACGUGGAUCUCAUCGCUUAAAAACCCUCUCUUGAUGGAACAGCUGAAUUCUUCUUGGAAGAAGACAUCCAGGUGGAAGUGGCCAAGGUACAGGAAGGUGGCUGAGAUGAAGAGGAGCAGGAUGGUGUUCCUCAGGAGGUAACGCAGCCAGCCCAAAGUCAGGAAACCCAGUCCCUAUGGGAGGGCACUUCAGAGCCCACACACAGAGUGGACUAAUUGGGAUUCUUCUUUUGUACGGGAUCUUGGAAGCAACUUACCGGAGGAGAAUUCCUGGGCAAAUGCCAGGGACAUCAGCAACAAGGGGAAGCCCACAGCUACGAACUUGACCAUCCGGUCCAGGGGCAGUUCCAGGCGCAGUCCUUUGAGGCGGAGGCCCCUGUAGUCGGGCAGCAGGGCAUCAGAGAGCAUGUACUCUGCAGCUGUGUGUGCGAGUGACAUGAUGCUGACCCACCAACUCUUUGAAAAGCUGCGGGGGAUGCAUGGUAGUAUUGAGUAGCGGAAAGAACGUGAACUUUGACAUCUGGAGGGAAAGUCCUACACUGGAGACCUGGCAGUGCUCACGUUUUAUUGUGUGACUUCAGGCAAGUUCAGCUUCCUCAUCUAUAAACUAUAGUACAGUGUUAGAAGGUUGUGAGGAUUAAGAUUAUAUGCAAAGGUGCUUUGUAAAUUGUAGAUUGUGGGACAAAUGUUAUCUCUUACUUCAGUUUGUUAGGGUUGGGUGGGUAGAGAAGCAAACAGUGGGGCAUAGGGCAUCCUUGUCUCUAGUACCAGCAUUAGUCUUACCUCUAUUUGGGGCUUUACUCUGGCGCCCUUUGGCCAUGUCUUCCCCAUGAGGGAAGGAGUCCAAGGAUGUCAGUUUUGACGAUAGACAAAUGGAUGUCUGUUUAGAGCAUAAGCACCUCAUCUGGACCAUCCUCUAGUACCUGGGACUCUGUAAUUUCAUUCCCAAAUGGCCUCAGCCUACUUUCAUGGCCAGUGUGAACCUUUCCCCUAGGUUCAUCCUCCCAAGGAUAGAUGGUGCUGAUGGUGUCACCCCUAGGCCUAAGGAUGGGUGACUGUGGGGACCAUAGGGUGACAUGGCAGCUGGUUUCCCCCAGAGCAGGUGAUCCGAGAGAGAGCAAGAGGGAAGCCACAAUGCCUUUUAUGACCUAGUCUCUGAAGCUGCACAUAGUGCAAAUGGUUUGCUCUAAGUUGGUAACUGAAAAGUUGGCAGUUCUAACUCACCCAGUGACAUUGCGGAAGAAAAGGACUGGUGAUCUGCUUACAUAAUGAUUACAGCCAAAAAUACCCUAUGGAGCAGUUCUGCUCAGUAACACACAGGGUUGCCAUGAGUUGGAAUCUACUUGACAGCACUAAACAACAACUGCUUUUCCCCCAUUAGUUAGAAUCGGGUCAGGAGCCCUGGUGGUACAACAGUUAAGCACUUGGCUGCUAGCUGAACGGUUGGCGGUUUUAACCCAUCCAGUGGCUCUGCAGGAGAAAAACAUGGUGAUUUGCUCCCAUAAAGACUGCUGUUGUUAGGUGCUGUCAAUUCCAACUCAUAGCGACCCUGUGUGCAACAGAAUGAAACACUGCCCAGUCCUGCACCAUUCUCAGAAUUGUUGCUAUGUGUGAACGCAUUGUUGCAGCCACUGUGUCAACUCAGUCUUUUUCACUGACCCUCUAACAUGCAUGAUGUGGCCCUUUUCCAGGGACUGGUCCCUCCUGAUAACAUGUCCAAAGUAUGUAAGAUGAAGUCUCGCCAUCCUCCAUUUUAAGGGACAUUCUUGUUGCACUUCCUCCAAGACAUUCGUUCAUUCUUCUGGCGGUCGGUGGUAUAUUCAGUAUUCGCCGACACUGUAAUUCAAAGGCAUCAAUUCUUCUUCAGCCUUCCUUAUUCAUUGUCCAGCUUUCACACGCAUAUGAGGUGAUUGAAAAUACCAUGGUUUGGGUCAGGUGCACCUUAGUCUUCAAAGUGACAUCUUUGCUUUAUAACACUUUAAAGAGGUCUUUUGCAGCAGAUUUACCCAAUACAGUAUGUUGUUUGGUUUCUUGACUGCUGCUCUCAUGGGUGUUGAUUGUGGAUCCAAGUAAAAUGAAAUCCUUGAGAAUUUCAAUCUUUUGUCUGUUUAUCAUGAUGCUGCUUAUUGGUCCAGUUGUGAGGAUUUUUGUUUUCUUUAUGUUGAGGUGUAAUCCAUACUGAAGACUGUGGUCUUUGAUCUUCAUCAGUAAGUGCUUCAAGUCCUCUUCACUUUCAGUAAGCAAGGUUGUGUCAUCUGCAUAUUGCAGGUUGAAUGAGUCUUCCUCCAGUCCUGAUGCUGUGUUCUUCAUAUAGUCCAGUUUCUCAGAUUAUUUGCUCAGCAUACAGAUUGAAUAAGUAUGGUGAACGGAUACAACCUUGAUGGAACUCCUUGCCUGAUUUUAAACCACACGAUAUCCUGUUCUGUCUGGACAACUGCCUCUUCGUCUAUGUACAGGAUCCUCAUGAGCACAGUUCAGUGUUCUGGAAUUCCCAAUUCUUUGCAGUGUUAUCCAUAAUUUGUGAUGAUCCACACAGUGUGCUUUAUAUCUCGUUCUAUUUUUCUUUUUUUUUUUUUAAAUACUACUGUGCUCUGAAGUUGAUCCAUUUUUCUGUGUCCACAGCUAAUCUGUUGUUUCUGACUGCUGCAGAAUACUUCAUAAUAUUCAUCUACUACAUUUUAUCCACUGAUUUGUCUGGUAAUGUAUACUCAUUUUGCUUCUACUUUCUGUACCACAUGUAAUAUACAUUUCUCUUAAAAGAGAAUUCAGUUGGGGUGUAUAUACUUGGGAAAAGAAUUGCUAGAUCGUAGGACUACAUAAUUUUUUAUUAUUUAGGACUACAUAUAUGUAACUUGUCUUAAGCAGUAUUGUUCUCUAGAACGUAGUGUGUAAAGUUUGUUAUAUCUCCACAUCUUCACCAACAGGUAGCACCAUCCAGCAUUUUAAUUUUUGUUUGUUGGAUAUAAAGCAGAGGUCCUCAAAAUGUUGUCCAGAAAACCCCCUGGGAGUCCCUGAGACCCUUUCAGGGUAUACUCAAGAUCAAAAUUAUUUUCAUACUAAUA
Loxodonta africana (African savanna elephant) is the source of this 3484-nucleotide long non-coding RNA. RefSeq lists it as uncharacterized. NCBI's taxonomy places the organism in Eukaryota, Metazoa, Chordata, Mammalia, Proboscidea, Elephantidae. The transcript has 3 exons. The record is from RefSeq and is a predicted model, not a curated record.